ACAUGUUCAUGCUUCAUUAUAUUUCACUUGUUUUAUUUUGUAUUAGAAUAGUGUAAUAUGAGAGAAGCUGGAGUAAUUGGAAAUAUAAUUUGUAGGUUUGUGGGUAACGAGUCCACGCUGACAUAGGAGAGUGAGCGGACGUCAGACACACAGAGGGGUGGUGUUUGAAGGGCGUGCGUGUGCAGCUGCCUUAUUUAACCCGGAUUUUCUCUCAAGACGGUGACACGUGCCAGUGGAAGCUUAAUGGCUGCCGGAAGGUGGUCGUGAGGGCCAGAAACACUUAUAAUAUUGACAAAUGACCCACCUGCUGCUUGGCCAGCUGGCGGACUGGUCACAGACGCCAUGGUGCAAUAGGAGACUACCCCAUCCCCUGCCUCCCGCCCUGCCCCACCCAGACACCAUGGCCCGGCAGCGACACCAUUCCACCUGCUACAUGAUGCUGGCUGACGCACUCCUGACGUGGCAGCGACAGGAGGCGGAGGGCAGGAGCAAGAGUCGGAUGGUGAAGAAAGGCGUGAUGGCGGAGGUGGUGGCUGUGGAGGGUGUUCGUGCAGGGUACCUCGGCAGGGUCUAGGUUUGCAGUAAACCUCCCUGAAGGUUCCAGAGCUGGUCAGCAGGUGCCCAGUCCAGGCUGUCACAAGACUGUGUGAUGGUGGACCUUCCACUGAUACUCACUGAAAACAGCUGUGCACUGCCACUCACAGGAAAUGGGCCUGAUGUGAAGGUGUCUGCAGCCAGUGUUUGGUGUCCUCUGUGCCUGCCUGGUGGUGCCUCAUUGCAGGGCCUGAUGUGAAGGUGUCUGCAGCCAGUGGUGGUGCCUCAUUGCAGGGCCUGAUGUGAAGGUGUCUGCAGCCAGUGGUGGUGCCUCAUUGCAGGGCUGAUGUGAAGGUGUCUGCAGCCAGUGGUGGUGCCUCAUUGCAGGGCUGAUGUGAAGGUGUCUGCAGCCAGUGGUGGGUGUCCUCUGUGCCUGGUGGUGCCUCAUUGCAGGGCUGAUGUGAAGGUGUCUGCAGCCAGUGGUGGGUGUCCUCUGUGCCUGGUGGUGCCUCAUUGCAGGGCUGAUGUGAAGGUGUCUGCAGCCAGUGGUGGGUGUCCUCUCUUCCUGGUGGUGCAGCCUGAUGUGUUGCCUGCUUCAGUGUAAAUCUUGCAAGCCAGAUCUGCCAGCUGUCUCCAGUGUAGUAGUCUAGGGUGCUUUGCUUUGUGUCUUUGGCAAUAAAUAAAUUUGUGAGUAUCAUUCUCAUGUGAAUUAUAUAGUUUGAUAAAAUUACAGAAUGUGCUUGUGUAAACUAAAUUUAUAUAUUGGUGGUAAACAAUUCAUGCAUCCCCAAGUAAAUAAAUAAAAUAAAAUAGGACCCAAAACAAUAGAUACAAUAGAUCAUCCUCUGGUCAAAAAAAAAAAAAAGCCAGGAUUGGCUGGCCUAUUUUUGGUUAA
Molecule: long non-coding RNA, 1429 nt
Organism: Scylla paramamosain (green mud crab)
Lineage: Eukaryota; Metazoa; Arthropoda; Malacostraca; Decapoda; Portunidae
Exons: 4
Source: RefSeq, a predicted model, not a curated record